Molecule: ribosomal RNA, 406 nt
Filed under: uncultured bacterium
Lineage: Bacteria
Description: partial 16S ribosomal RNA
Rfam family: Bacterial small subunit ribosomal RNA
Source: RNAcentral
AUUGAACGCUGGCGGCAUGCCUAACACAUGCAAGUCGAACGAGUGGCGGACGGGUGAGUAAUGUCUGGGAAACUGCCCUAUGGCGGGGGAUAACUCCUGGAAACGGUAGCUAAUACCGCAUACCAUCGGAUGUGCCCAGAUGGGAUUAGCUAGUAGGUGGUUUAACGGCUCACCUAGGCGACGAUCCCUAGCUGGUCUGAGAGGAUGACCAGCCACACUGGAACUGAGACACGGUCCAGACUCCGACGGGAGGCAGCAGUAGGGAAUAUUGCACAAGGGGAGCAAGCCUGACGCAGCCAUGCCGCGUGAAUGAAGAAGGCCUUCGGGUUGUAAAGUACUGUCAGCGAGGAGGCGUUACUCGCAGAAGAAGCACCGGCUAACUCCGUGCCAGCAGCCGCGGUAAUUC